CCUACGGGAGGCAGCAGUGAGGAAUAUUGGUCAAUGGACGCAAGUCUGAACCAUCCAUGCCGCGUGCAGGAUGACGGUCCUAUGGAUUGUAAACUGCUUUUGUACGAGAAGAAACACUCCGACGUGUCGGAGCUUGACGGUAUCGUAAGAAUAAGGAUCGGCUAACUCCGUGCCAGCAGCCGCGGUAAU
RNAcentral lists this ribosomal RNA (189 nucleotides) under uncultured bacterium. RNAcentral describes it as "partial 16S ribosomal RNA". It matches the Rfam family "Bacterial small subunit ribosomal RNA", at positions 338 to 524 of the family's 1533-position model. The record is from RNAcentral.